This 217-nucleotide long non-coding RNA is filed under the name Jatropha curcas. RNAcentral describes it as "long non-coding RNA (JCUR_LNC000614)". The record is from RNAcentral. Lineage: Eukaryota; Viridiplantae; Streptophyta; Magnoliopsida; Malpighiales; Euphorbiaceae.
UCUAAGCCAACAUUCUAGAAUACUCCACAUUACUCCACCCAAAGAUAUUUUGUAUAAUGUCAACAUAGUUCUAGAAUUCUCCAUGUACAAAUCUUAGCCGUACAUUGAGUAGGUGGAAAUGCCUAUAAAUACCACCCCUCACCUCAUUUGUAAGAACCAAGCAAACACUAAGAAAAACCAAGUAAGUAAUAUUUUCCUUAAGCUUUGUGAAUGCUUG